UGGGGAAUAUUGCACAAUGGGCGCAAGCCUGAUGCAGCAACGCCGCGUGAGGGAUGACGGCCUUCGGGUUGUAAACCUCUUUUAGCAGGGAAGAAGCGAAAGUGACGGUACCUGCAGAAAAAGCACCGGCUAACUACGUGCCAGCAGCCGCGGUAAUACGUAGGGUGCAAGCGUUGUCCGGAAUUAUUGGGCGUAAAGAGCUCGUAGGCGGUCUGUCGCGUCUGCUGUGAAAUCCCGAGGCUCAACCUCGGGCCUGCAGUGGGUACGGGCAGACUAGAGUGCGGUAGGGGAGAAUGGAACUCCUGGUGUAGCGGUGGAAUGCGCAGAUAUCAGGAAGAACACCGAUGGCGAAGGCAGUUCUCUGGGCCGUAACUGACGCUGAGGAGCGAAAGCGUGGGGAGCGAACAGGAUUAGAUACCCUGGUAGUCCACGCCGUAAACGUUGGGCGCUAGAUGUGGGGCACCAUUCCACGGUUUCCGUGUCGCAGCUAACGCAUUAAGCGCCCCGCCU
This 510-nucleotide ribosomal RNA is filed under the name uncultured bacterium. RNAcentral describes it as "partial 16S ribosomal RNA". It matches the Rfam family "Bacterial small subunit ribosomal RNA", at positions 355 to 874 of the family's 1533-position model. The record is from RNAcentral.